Molecule: ribosomal RNA, 458 nt
Filed under: Escherichia coli
Lineage: Bacteria; Pseudomonadati; Pseudomonadota; Gammaproteobacteria; Enterobacterales; Enterobacteriaceae
Description: bacterial SSU rRNA
Rfam family: Bacterial small subunit ribosomal RNA
Source: RNAcentral
CAAAGAGGGGGACCUUCGGGCCUCUUGCCAUCGGAUGUGCCCAGAUGGGAUUAGCUAGUAGGUGGGGUAACGGCUCACCUAGGCGACGAUCCCUAGCUGGUCUGAGAGGAUGACCAGCCACACUGGAACUGAGACACGGUCCAGACUCCUACGGGAGGCAGCAGUGGGGAAUAUUGCACAAUGGGCGCAAGCCUGAUGCAGCCAUGCCGCGUGUAUGAAGAAGGCCUUCGGGUUGUAAAGUACUUUCAGCGGGGAGGAAGGGAGUAAAGUUAAUACCUUUGCUCAUUGACGUUACCCGCAGAAGAAGCACCGGCUAACUCCGUGCCAGCAGCCGCGGUAAUACGGAGGGUGCAAGCGUUAAUCGGAAUUACUGGGCGUAAAGCGCACGCAGGCGGUUUGUUAAGUCAGAUGUGAAAUCCCCGGGCUCAACCUGGGAACUGCAUCUGAUACUGGCAAGC